GGCCAACACCCUCAGUACCAGCUUCACCUACUGCCCAAGCUCCACAACGUGUACCUUCUAAGUCGUCUGAUGGAUCAGCAUCAGGCAGCAGUGAAUACUCCAUCUUCCCCACAGCUUCAGUAUUUAGGGAUAGUGCAGAUGGUGGUACUAAUAGUGAUGAUGAGGUACCGGAUAGUGGUGUGCCCCAGGUUGGGGGUAUGGAAUGAACUAGAAACCAUGAGGUCUGGGAAGAUCGAUUUGUUAGUCAAGUGGCAUUUCAUAAGUUUAGGGAAUGGUGGUCAGUAUGGAAAUUGAUUCCAGAGAGGAGUAUCAUUACAAGUGACCUACUACCCUUGCUUCCAUAUAUUCAUAGGCAGUUUCAUACUAGAGUGGGAUGGGUGCAUUUUUGGGAUCAUUUAACAGAUGCCAAUGAGCACAUGGUGAAGGAGUUCUACUGCAAUAUGGCCCACGUCAAAGAAGGUUCAAUUGUGACCAAAGUGCAAAACAGAAAUGUUGUGUUCUCUGGGAAAGCUUUCAAUGAGUACUUGGGGUUUGACGACAAGGAGGAGACCCAAUACAAUGAGAAGUUGUCAAUGGGUGAAAAGGUUCACUCAUGGGUAGCUAGGUACAUGGCUCACCUGGGUACUGUUCCAGAUUGGAUACAAGCGGGAGUGGAGAUUGUCCGGAGAACACUGAACUUUGAAGCUAGGGGUGGUUGACCUUCGUGUGCAAGCGACUUGAUCAUACGGCCCAUGAUCAAACUAUACUACUUCCCCGUGUAGUUUUGAUUGCUUCUAUCAUGGGGGGAUUCCCUAUCAAUGUGGGAAAUGUGAUGCACCGGGCCAUUACUUCGAUGAGGGUUUAUAGUGAUUGGAACUACCCGUUUCCUAACACUCUCACUAUGUACUUCCAGGAUUUGAAAGUAAAAAAGAAGUCCUAUGAUGUGAAGGUAAGACCAGUGGCUCCAUUCUCAUGGUUUAGCAUACAGGGGCCUGACAACCCGAAGGACAAGAAGUACAAGACCAACUUCUGCCCCAAUUGGCCAGUCUGAGGAGCCAGUUGCGGUAGAGUCUUCCGUUGAGCCUUUCACCGAGCUUCCAUCCGUGCCUGCUGCCACUGUUAGUGAUGACUUACCUCUAGGACAUCCUCCUCGACUGGACUCACCACUUCAGCUGGCCCGGGGGUCCUCUCCUCCUGGGCUCAUCCUUUCACGACCCAUCAGUUGAGCCAGACUUUAGCUAGUUUGAACAACUGGAUGUCAGCUGUGACAUAUUUUGUUUUACAUUGUCUACCACAGUUGAGGCCCAUUAAACACCUCACACAGCUCAGAUUCCUCAAUCCAUUGAGGAUACACUGAAUAAAGGGCAAGAAGUACAAGCCCCCAACUUCUUCCCCAAGUGGCCAGUCUGAGGAGCAAGUUGCAGUAGAGUCUUCCGUUGAGCCUUUCAUCGAGCUUCCAUCCAUGCCUGCUGCCACUGUUAGUGAUGAAUUACCUCCAGGACCAUCCUCCUUAGCUGGACCCAGCACUUCAGCUGGCCCAGGGGUCCCUUCCUCUCGUUCUCAUCCAUUCACUGCCCAUCAGUUGAGCCAGACAUUAGCUAGUUUGAACAACUGGAUGUCAGCUGUGACAUCUAAGUUGUCUACAUUGUCUACCACAGUUGAGGCACAUUCAGCACCUCCCACAGCUCAGAUUCCUCAAUCCAUUGAGGAUACACUAAAGAAGCUCUUAGAAAACCAGGAGAAGGUUAUGAGGACUCAAGACGCCUUGACUAAGGCGGUGGAUUCGCAUGGCAACGCUUUGAAUAAGCUUGCCAAGGAGCACAGGAAGAUGAGAAAGUCAAGGGCUUCUAAGGAGUCGGUGAAAGUACUAAGGACUGAUAUGGACAAGCCAUUGGCAGACCAGAUGCUUGUAGACUUCCUAUUUGGGAAUCCAGCCACAGCAGCAGCACUAGUACCACAGCCACAGCCAUAGCUGGAGUAGUAGUAGACACCCAGACCUCCAAGGAAGAAGAGGAAGCUUCCUAGUUCAGUUGGUACAAUUAUCGAGCUAGUGGACCCACAGGAGGUUCCUUUCAAUGUUCCACCUAUCAAUCAGUUGGUUCACGAGUAGACCCCAGUCCGAGUAGCUGAGCAGCAGGAGUCAAGGAACCUGUCUUAGGUUCCUGUACAAACAGAGGACUUGGGGACCACUGAUGACCCCAUGCAGACGGACCAGUCUUAGGGAGCUUUUAUAUCCUUUCUUAUGACUUUUUUAGUGCUUAUUUUGAUAGUCGGCAUUGGGGACAAUGCCAGCUCUUAUUCAUGAGGGUGCACCCUACUUUUUGUUUAUCUAGAUAACUGUAUAUAUUUGACUUAGUCUAUGUUUAUGUGAUUUUCUAUUUUGGUAUGUACAUAACUUUACAUUGAG
This 2386-nucleotide long non-coding RNA is filed under the name Nicotiana benthamiana. RNAcentral describes it as "long non-coding RNA (NBEN_LNC016370)". Lineage: Eukaryota; Viridiplantae; Streptophyta; Magnoliopsida; Solanales; Solanaceae. The record is from RNAcentral.